GUUGUCCUUUAAUGAGUACUAACCUUUGAAAAUCUUACUAGAAUGUCCGUUGACCAUUCCUAUUUUUUUUUCCAGAAUCAGCGCAGCAGGGACGACGUUAAACUGCUGGAUUCAAGCGACGUUUAUGUCAACCGGAAUGCUUUGCGAAGCUGUGUACAAGCAGGGCACCAGCAAAAGGUCCCAUUGGGCUUUUAAAGAAACUCAUUCCGAUAGUUUUUUCUGCCUAGGAUCUUGCAAGGUCGUGCGGCCAAGGACUCGCUCGCGGAGGGGCAUCUCAGAAGGAGGAUGGGAAAGCCCCUCUUGACCAGCACAAGGUCAAUGCUUGCAAAGAUUACCUUGUCGCCUUCUGCCUCCAGAAUAAAAUGGCCCAGCCAGGAGCGCAAGAGAUAAAUAAAGCGUUCACGCAACAAAUUACAUAUGCGAGGACAAUAUUAAAAAUGCAGAGUGCUGCCGUGAACACUGAGUAGAUAUAAUGAUCACCGUCUUUUAUGUAUUUCUUUUUAUACACUAGACGGUCGAGGUUUAUACACGAUUAAAAGUAGUACUAACCAUA
Nematostella vectensis (starlet sea anemone) is the source of this 553-nucleotide long non-coding RNA. RefSeq lists it as uncharacterized. The transcript is spliced from 2 exons. NCBI's taxonomy places the organism in Eukaryota, Metazoa, Cnidaria, Anthozoa, Actiniaria, Edwardsiidae. The record is from RefSeq and is a predicted model, not a curated record.